GAACAGGCGUUCGGCCAGCCAUACGACUGCCGUACAAAUGCUGUCCGAAAACCCAGAAUGCGUGGAGAAGCUGCAACGAAUGAUUAGCGCACAUUCAGUAUGCAGCAGCUCCAGAGUCCAGGUAGCCUGCGCCUGGAACACAGCACGGAACAGGAAGGAAUACAAACAAGAAAAAACACAGCACAAAACACCACAAUGCGGCAGAAUGCAGCAGGAAUAUGCAGAAUGCACCCCCAAUGCCGUACGUGGCACUCAAUGUCUUG
Molecule: long non-coding RNA, 263 nt
Organism: Thalassophryne amazonica
Lineage: Eukaryota; Metazoa; Chordata; Actinopteri; Batrachoidiformes; Batrachoididae
Exons: 3
Source: RefSeq, a predicted model, not a curated record